This 376-nucleotide unclassified non-coding RNA is filed under the name uncultured Pseudomonadota bacterium. Its description in RNAcentral is "uncultured proteobacterium contains 16S-23S intergenic spacer region". The record is from RNAcentral. Lineage: Bacteria; Pseudomonadati; Pseudomonadota.
UCCGGUUUGUCACCGGCAGUCUCAUUAGAGUGCCCUUUCGUAGCAACUAAUGACAAGGGUUGCGCUCGUUGCGGGACUUAACCCAACAUCUCACGACACGAGCUGACGACAGCCAUGCAGCACCUGUGUUCCCGCCAGCCGAACUGAAGAGAUCCUUCUCUGGAUCUCAUACGGGACAUGUCAAGGGCUGGUAAGGUUCUUCGCGUUGCUUCGAAUUAAGCCACAUGCUCCACCGCUUGUGUGAGCCCCCGUCAAUUCCUUUGAGUUUUAGUCUUGCGACCGUACUUCCCAGGCGGGGAACUUAGUGCGUUAGCGCCGGUUCGGCGGGGGUCAAGACCCACCAAACCUAGUUCCCAUCGUUUACAGCGUGGACUAC